AAGUUUUGAAAAGUCUUGGCCCCCAGCCUAAAAAAAAAAAAAGGGAAAAAGAAAAACGAAAAAAAAAGAGAAAAGAAAAAAAAAAUAAAAAGAAAAGAAAAAGGGGGCUAGCAAAGUUAAAAAAAAAAAAAAAAAAAAAAAAAAAAAAAAAAAAAAAAAAAAAAAAAAGAAAAAGGGGGCUAGCAAAGUUGUUAGGAGCUAAGAAAUGUUUUGAGGUU
RNAcentral lists this long non-coding RNA (218 nucleotides) under Brassica napus (rape). RNAcentral's name for it is "long non-coding RNA (BNAP_LNC001824)". Lineage: Eukaryota; Viridiplantae; Streptophyta; Magnoliopsida; Brassicales; Brassicaceae. The record is from RNAcentral.